Molecule: ribosomal RNA, 492 nt
Filed under: uncultured bacterium
Lineage: Bacteria
Description: partial 16S ribosomal RNA
Rfam family: Bacterial small subunit ribosomal RNA
Source: RNAcentral
AGUGAACGCUGGCGGUAGGCCUAACACAUGCAAGUCGAACGGCAGCACAGUAAGAGCUUGCUCUUACGGGUGGCGAGUGGCGGACGGGUGAGGAAUACAUCGGAAUCUACUUUUUCGUGGGGGAUAACGUAGGGAAACUUACGCUAAUACCGCAUACGACCUACGGGUGAAAGCAGGGGAUCUUCGGACCUUUCGCGAUUGAAUGAGCCGAUGUCGGAUUAGCUAGUUGGUGGGGUAAAGGCCCACCAAGGCGACGAUCCGUAGCUGGUCUGAGCGGAUGAUCAGCCACACGGGAACUGAGACACGGUCCAGACUCCUACGGGAGGCAGCAGUGGGGAAUAUUGGACAAUGGGCGCAAGCCUGAUCCAGCCAUACCGCGUGGGUGAAGAAGGCCUUCGGGUUGGAAAGCCCUCUUGUUGGGAAAGAAAAGCAGCAGGUUAAUACCCAGCUGUUCUGACGGUACCCAAAGAAGAAGCACCGGCUAACUUCGUG